CAGUAGCCGCGGUAAAACGGAGGGUGCAAGCGUUAAUCGGAAUUACUGGGCGUAAAGCGUGCGCAGGCGGUUAUAUAAGACAGAUGUGAAAUCCCCGGGCUCAACCUGGGAACUGCAUUUGUGACUGUAUAGCUAGAGUACGGCAGAGGGGGAUGGAAUUCCGCGUGUAGCAGUGAAAUGCGUAGAUAUGCGGAGGAACACCGAUGGCGAAGGCAAUCCCCUGGGCCUGUACUGACGCUCAUGCACGAAAGCGUGGGGAGCAAACAGGAUUAGAUACCCGAGUAGUCCCUGUCUCUUAUAC
This 301-nucleotide ribosomal RNA is filed under the name uncultured bacterium. Its description in RNAcentral is "partial 16S ribosomal RNA". It matches the Rfam family "Bacterial small subunit ribosomal RNA", at positions 509 to 807 of the family's 1533-position model. The record is from RNAcentral.